This 126-nucleotide small RNA is filed under the name Marmota monax (woodchuck). Lineage: Eukaryota; Metazoa; Chordata; Mammalia; Rodentia; Sciuridae. The record is from RNAcentral.
ACUGGGCAUGGUGGCACAUGCCUGUAAUCCCAGUAGCUUGGGAAGCUGAUACAGGAGGAUCACGAGUUCAAAGCUAGCCUCAGCAAAAGGUGAGGCACUAAACAACUCAGUGAGACCCUGUCUCUA